GACGAACGCUGGCGGCGUGCUUAACACAUGCAAGUCGAGCGGUAAGGCCCUUUCGGGGGUACACGAGCGGCGGACGGGUGAGUAACACGUGGGUGACCUGCCCUCAGCUCUGGGAUAAGCCUGGGAAACCGGGUCUAAUACUGGAUAUGACUCCAUGACGCAUGUUGUGGGGUGGAAAGCCUUGUGCGGCUGAGGAUGGGCCCGCGGCCUAUCAGCUUGUUGGUGGGGUGANGGCCUACCAAGGCGACGACGGGUAGCCGGCCUGAGAGGGCGACCGGCCACACUGGGACUGAGACACGGCCCAGACUCCUACGGGAGGCAGCAGUGGGGAAUCUUGCGCAAUGGGCGAAAGCCUGACGCAGCGACGCCGCGUGAGGGAUGACGGCCU
RNAcentral lists this ribosomal RNA (388 nucleotides) under uncultured bacterium. RNAcentral's name for it is "bacterial SSU rRNA". It matches the Rfam family "Bacterial small subunit ribosomal RNA", at positions 28 to 417 of the family's 1533-position model. The record is from RNAcentral.